Molecule: long non-coding RNA, 488 nt
Filed under: Sus scrofa (pig)
Lineage: Eukaryota; Metazoa; Chordata; Mammalia; Artiodactyla; Suidae
Description: lncRNA (ENSSSCG00070000929.1)
Source: RNAcentral
AAUAAUUAAACUGAGUUAUCUUAAUCAGCGUUUCCAAUUUGGAUUAUUUUUAUUACUUUAUAAAGAGAACUCCUCUUUCCUUUUCCAGAGAUUUCAUCCACACUUGAUUCUCCAAAUAACUUAGCGCUCAAGAGAAGUUGGUACGUUAUCCUCUUAUGAGUGAAGAGACUGAGACCAAGAAAGAAGGUGUUUAUCUCAGAUGAAGACGGUCCACGCUGGUGGGUGCCUGCCCGCAAAUCGGACCCACUUCCGCGUGCUAUGCACCUGGCAUUCAAUUCCAUCGUCAACUGGCUCCGACCUCACUCUGGGACCUUCCAUCCUACCUCUGACUUCCAGGUAAAAUCACUUGCUUCCUCCCAAUAAAGAAGAAAUGGACAUGAUUAUAUUGGCCGCACCUGCGAUAGGCAAUUGGUUAUUUUCAUCAUAAAGUAUCAUUUCCCAGGCCAGGAGCAUAAAAAAGAAAAAAAUAAAACCCAGCCAAUCAAGCA